GUGCCAGCCGCCGCGGUAAUACCGGCAGCUCAAGUGAUGUCCCAUAUUAUUGGGCCUAAAGCGUCCGUAGCUGGCCGACCAAGUCUCCCGGGAAAUCCACCCGCCCAACGGGUGGGCGUCCGGUAGAAACUGGCCGGCUUGGAACCGGAAGGCUCAGAGAGUACGUCCGGGGUAGGAGUGAAAUCCUGUAAUCCUGGACGGACCGCCGGUGGCGAAAGCGCCUCGGGAAGACGGACCCGACAGUGAGGGACGAAAGCUGGGAUCUCGAACCGGAUUAGAAACCCGAGUAGUCC
Molecule: ribosomal RNA, 293 nt
Filed under: uncultured bacterium
Lineage: Bacteria
Description: partial 16S ribosomal RNA
Rfam family: Archaeal small subunit ribosomal RNA
Source: RNAcentral